This 490-nucleotide ribosomal RNA is filed under the name uncultured bacterium. Its description in RNAcentral is "partial 16S ribosomal RNA". It matches the Rfam family "Bacterial small subunit ribosomal RNA", at positions 30 to 507 of the family's 1533-position model. The record is from RNAcentral.
AUUGAACGCUGGCGGCAGGCCUAACACAUGCAAGUCGAACGGUAACAGGAAGCAGCUUGCUGCUUUGCUGACGAGUGGCGGACGGGUGAGUAAUGUCUGGGAAACUGCCUGAUGGAGGGGGAUAACUACUGGAAACGGUAGCUAAUACCGCAUAACGUCGCAAGACCAAAGAGGGGGACCUUCGGGCCUCUUGCCAUCGGAUGUACCCAGAUGGGAUUAGCUAGUAGGUGGGGUAACGGCUCACCUAGGCGACGAUCCCUAGCUGGUCUGAGAGGAUGACCAGCCACACUGGAACUGAGACACGGUCCAGACUCCUACGGGAGGCAGCAGUGGGGAAUAUUGCACAAUGGGCGCAAGCCUGAUGCAGCCAUGCCGCGUGUAUGAAGAAGGCCUUCGGGUUGUAAAGUACUUUCAGCGGGGAGGAAGGGAGUAAAGUUAAUACCUUUGCUCAUUGACGUUACCCGCAGAAGAAGCACCGGCUAACUCCGUG